CGCGAAAAUUAUUGUCAACAACUUACUAAAACCAAAAUAAAAACAAAUCGGUACUUCAAAUACCUGUCUUUCAGCGUUCAAAUACUUGAAAAAUACUUUGGAAAAUAAAUUAUGCCAUUCAAUUCGUUCUAAAGGUUCUACUAAAUCUCAAAUAUAACUUUGGAGUAAAGGAGAUAAAAAUCGUGAAAUAAUAUUUCCGUUAUCGCCCACUUAUAUAACGGGAGCAUAAAGAACCUAAACUAUUGGCAGGUGCUCAGCUGUACACUGACUAUGGACAUUGAAUCGUCAGAUGAUGAGGUGCCAGAUUUGGUACCUGCAAGUACAGUUGUUGAAGAAGAAGGAGAGAUCCCAAAUAGCAAGAAAGUACCUGUUACCAUCAUAACUGGUUUCCUUGGAGCUGGGAAAACAACACUGCUGAACUACAUUCUGACAGAACAGCAUGGCAAGAAAAUUGCAGUCAUUCUUAAUGAAUUUGGAGAAGGCACAUCUAUGGAGAAAUCUAUGUCUGUUGGGCAAGAGGGGGAACUGUUUGAGGAAUGGCUUGAGUUGAGGAAUGGCUGCCUAUGCUGCUCUGUUAAGGACAAUGGGGUUCAAGCUAUUGAGAACCUGAUGAAAAAGAAAGGAAAGUUUGACUACAUUCUUUUAGAAACCACAGGCUUGGCAGAUCCAGGACCGAUUGCAUCCAUGUUCUGGAUUGAUGAAGAACUAUGCAGUGACCUUUUCUUAGAUGGUAUAGUCACAGUAGUUGAUGCCAAAUACUGUCUGCAGCACUUAGAAAAAACAACAGAGCCAGGAUCAAUCAAUGAAGCUGUCAAGCAGGUCGCCCUAGCUGAUGUGAUUAUAGUGAACAAGUUAGACAUUGUGACAGUUGAAGAGAAGGAGACCCUUAUACAUGCAGUCAGUGGGAUCAACAGUGCUAGUGCAAUCAUUGAAACCACAAAAUCAAGAGUGGACUUAGGUGCAAUACUUGACUUGAAUGCUUAUACUGGAGACAGUGUGUUGAAUGGUACUGUAGAUGAGAGACGGAAUAGAUUUGUAGAUACAGGGACACACAAUGUAGACAAGAAAAUGUCAACUGUAACAUUGGAAAUCUCAGGGGAGUUGGAUCCUAAAAAACUUGAUGUCUUCUUCCAAAAUCUUCUCUGGGAAAAAGUCUAUGAAGAUAGUAAGGGCAGCUUGAUGUUGAUUCUAAGGAUGAAGGGUGUCCUGAAUAUUGUUGACUCUUCAAAAAGGGUGCUUCUACAGGGUGUCCAUGAACUCUAUGACCAGCAACCAACAACAGAGUGGGAACCAGAGGAAUCAAGGACCAACACAGUAGUAUUUAUAGGCAAGAACCUGGAGAGGGGUGUUCUGCUUGAUGGACUCGAGGGAUGUUUGGCACAACACUGAUGGCCCAGAACAGAAGCAGUUAGCGGGACUUGUUCCAGCUUCCUGGCCCAGUUGAGGAUGAUGGGAAAUCCAGACUCAGGCACUACAAAGGCAUGCCUGUUUAAUGAGGGAAUUCUCUGGAAUUUCCCAUGUUCUUUGGAGUGGCUUGACAGCAGAAUCAAAGUGUUGAUGAGCACAAAACAGCAUGUGUUAGACCUCAAUAAAUAUUGAUUGUACAAAUGGGGCUUUCACCAACCUUCACAUUAACCCUCCAAUCUCUGAAGAGGCGCAUGAGGUAACCUGCUGAAUUAUCAGUGAUUCAUGGGUUAACUUAGCAGAAAAUAGCCAGACUUGGGAUGAAGUACUUUGAGAAAAGCCUGGAAAGUCGAUUAUCAUUUGGAGUGAAGGCAACUCUGCUAAGGUUUAUUGACACUGCCAGGCUUAGUCGAUAAAUUUUAUGGAAUACAAACAAAUGUGUAAAGAAUGAGUGGCAGCUGGAGAAGGCAGUAAACCAGACUGCUUGGCACCAUUCAUUAAUGGCUGCGCUUGUUGAACCCCCUCUAGUGGAGGGUCCUGAUAGACUGCAUGGCUCCAUCUGGGUCAUAGCGUACUUUUAACACUAGACUGCAUGUCUCCCAUUAUGGGUCAUACUGGUACAUUCACUACUUGAGAAUGUGGGUUUCUCUUCCUUAAAUAUAAUGAAAACUGAGCAUUCCUGUUGUAUUUGAGAUACUUUUGGGAAUACUUGGUGGAAAUGUUUUUGAAGACGGUUACAUUUUAUCAUCAUUCUUGUCAGGAAAUCAUUCUUGUCGGAAUGUUUCCAUGUGAUUUUAUUAUGUCACCACCAAAAGUGUUGACAUAUUGGUAUAGUCUCCAACUUUUUUGUGGAUAGUGUUUGGUUGUUGGUGUUCAGCGUUCAGCAGUCAGUGUUCAGCAUCUGCAACAAAUGGCAGGUGAUGACAUUUUGCUCGUUAAUGCCUUGUUAUUUGUUUUUAUGACCUCACCAGCCAGUGAUAUAUAUAAUUGUGAUUUUAUUUU
RNAcentral lists this unclassified non-coding RNA (2406 nucleotides) under Owenia fusiformis. RNAcentral's name for it is "misc RNA OFUS_LOCUS660". The record is from RNAcentral. Lineage: Eukaryota; Metazoa; Annelida; Polychaeta; Sabellida; Oweniidae.